Molecule: ribosomal RNA, 2893 nt
Filed under: Escherichia coli
Lineage: Bacteria; Pseudomonadati; Pseudomonadota; Gammaproteobacteria; Enterobacterales; Enterobacteriaceae
Description: bacterial LSU rRNA
Rfam family: Bacterial large subunit ribosomal RNA
Source: RNAcentral
ACUAAGCGUACACGGUGGAUGCCCUGGCAGUCAGAGGCGAUGAAGGACGUGCUAAUCUGCGAUAAGCGUCGGUAAGGUGAUAUGAACCGUUAUAACCGGCGAUUUCCGAAUGGGGAAACCCAGUGUGAUUCGUCACACUAUCAUUAACUGAAUCCAUAGGUUAAUGAGGCGAACCGGGGGAACUGAAACAUCUAAGUACCCCGAGGAAAAGAAAUCAACCGAGAUUCCCCCAGUAGCGGCGAGCGAACGGGGAGCAGCCCAGAGCCUGAAUCAGUGUGUGUGUUAGUGGAAGCGUCUGGAAAGGCGCGCGAUACAGGGUGACAGCCCCGUACACAAAAAUGCACAUACUGUGAGCUCGAUGAGUAGGGCGGGACACGUGGUAUCCUGUCUGAAUAUGGGGGGACCAUCCUCCAAGGCUAAAUACUCCUGACUGACCGAUAGUGAACCAGUACCGUGAGGGAAAGGCGAAAAGAACCCCGGCGAGGGGAGUGAAAAAGAACCUGAAACCGUGUACGUACAAGCAGUGGGAGCACGCUUAGGCGUGUGACUGCGUACCUUUUGUAUAAUGGGUCAGCGACUUAUAUUCUGUAGCAAGGUUAACCGAAUAGGGGAGCCGAAGGGAAACCGAGUCUUAACUGGGCGUUAAGUUGCAGGGUAUAGACCCGAAACCCGGUGAUCUAGCCAUGGGCAGGUUGAAGGUUGGGUAACACUAACUGGAGGACCGAACCGACUAAUGUUGAAAAAUUAGCGGAUGACUUGUGGCUGGGGGUGAAAGGCCAAUCAAACCGGGAGAUAGCUGGUUCUCCCCGAAAGCUAUUUAGGUAGCGCCUCGUGAAUUCAUCUCCGGGGGUAGAGCACUGUUUCGGCAAGGGGGUCAUCCCGACUUACCAACCCGAUGCAAACUGCGAAUACCGGAGAAUGUUAUCACGGGAGACACACGGCGGGUGCUAACGUCCGUCGUGAAGAGGGAAACAACCCAGACCGCCAGCUAAGGUCCCAAAGUCAUGGUUAAGUGGGAAACGAUGUGGGAAGGCCCAGACAGCCAGGAUGUUGGCUUAGAAGCAGCCAUCAUUUAAAGAAAGCGUAAUAGCUCACUGGUCGAGUCGGCCUGCGCGGAAGAUGUAACGGGGCUAAACCAUGCACCGAAGCUGCGGCAGCGACGCUUAUGCGUUGUUGGGUAGGGGAGCGUUCUGUAAGCCUGCGAAGGUGUGCUGUGAGGCAUGCUGGAGGUAUCAGAAGUGCGAAUGCUGACAUAAGUAACGAUAAAGCGGGUGAAAAGCCCGCUCGCCGGAAGACCAAGGGUUCCUGUCCAACGUUAAUCGGGGCAGGGUGAGUCGACCCCUAAGGCGAGGCCGAAAGGCGUAGUCGAUGGGAAACAGGUUAAUAUUCCUGUACUUGGUGUUACUGCGAAGGGGGGACGGAGAAGGCUAUGUUGGCCGGGCGACGGUUGUCCCGGUUUAAGCGUGUAGGCUGGUUUUCCAGGCAAAUCCGGAAAAUCAAGGCUGAGGCGUGAUGACGAGGCACUACGGUGCUGAAGCAACAAAUGCCCUGCUUCCAGGAAAAGCCUCUAAGCAUCAGGUAACAUCAAAUCGUACCCCAAACCGACACAGGUGGUCAGGUAGAGAAUACCAAGGCGCUUGAGAGAACUCGGGUGAAGGAACUAGGCAAAAUGGUGCCGUAACUUCGGGAGAAGGCACGCUGAUAUGUAGGUGAAGUCCCUCGCGGAUGGAGCUGAAAUCAGUCGAAGAUACCAGCUGGCUGCAACUGUUUAUUAAAAACACAGCACUGUGCAAACACGAAAGUGGACGUAUACGGUGUGACGCCUGCCCGGUGCCGGAAGGUUAAUUGAUGGGGUUAGCGCAAGCGAAGCUCUUGAUCGAAGCCCCGGUAAACGGCGGCCGUAACUAUAACGGUCCUAAGGUAGCGAAAUUCCUUGUCGGGUAAGUUCCGACCUGCACGAAUGGCGUAAUGAUGGCCAGGCUGUCUCCACCCGAGACUCAGUGAAAUUGAACUCGCUGUGAAGAUGCAGUGUACCCGCGGCAAGACGGAAAGACCCCGUGAACCUUUACUAUAGCUUGACACUGAACAUUGAGCCUUGAUGUGUAGGAUAGGUGGGAGGCUUUGAAGUGUGGACGCCAGUCUGCAUGGAGCCGACCUUGAAAUACCACCCUUUAAUGUUUGAUGUUCUAACGUGGACCCGUAAUCCGGGUUGCGGACAGUGUCUGGUGGGUAGUUUGACUGGGGCGGUCUCCUCCUAAAGAGUAACGGAGGAGCACGAAGGUUGGCUAAUCCUGGUCGGACAUCAGGAGGUUAGUGCAAUGGCAUAAGCCAGCUUGACUGCGAGCGUGACGGCGCGAGCAGGUGCGAAAGCAGGUCAUAGUGAUCCGGUGGUUCUGAAUGGAAGGGCCAUCGCUCAACGGAUAAAAGGUACUCCGGGGAUAACAGGCUGAUACCGCCCAAGAGUUCAUAUCGACGGCGGUGUUUGGCACCUCGAUGUCGGCUCAUCACAUCCUGGGGCUGAAGUAGGUCCCAAGGGUAUGGCUGUUCGCCAUUUAAAGUGGUACGCGAGCUGGGUUUAGAACGUCGUGAGACAGUUCGGUCCCUAUCUGCCGUGGGCGCUGGAGAACUGAGGGGGGCUGCUCCUAGUACGAGAGGACCGGAGUGGACGCAUCACUGGUGUUCGGGUUGUCAUGCCAAUGGCACUGCCCGGUAGCUAAAUGCGGAAGAGAUAAGUGCUGAAAGCAUCUAAGCACGAAACUUGCCCCGAGAUGAGUUCUCCCUGACUCCUUGAGAGUCCUGAAGGAACGUUGAAGACGACGACGUUGAUAGGCCGGGUGUGUAAGCGCAGCGAUGCGUUGAGCUAACCGGUACUAAUGAACCGUGAGGCUUAACC